This 1014-nucleotide long non-coding RNA is filed under the name Daucus carota (carrot). RNAcentral's name for it is "long non-coding RNA (DCAR_LNC001152)". The record is from RNAcentral. Lineage: Eukaryota; Viridiplantae; Streptophyta; Magnoliopsida; Apiales; Apiaceae.
UCAGGACUUUAGAGGAUUGAUUUAGAAAUCUCUAACUAAUAUAUUUUAUGUAGCAUAUCAAUAACAUAUCAAUUAGAUGAUUAUCUUGUAAUUGUGCAGUAUAUAAGCACAGAGAGUUUUAUACUAUAAGUGUAUCAAUUUCAUAUUAACAAUAUCAUAUUUAUAACUUAGCAGCUUCAUUGAUAUUCAACAUCAUUGAGAGAGUAGUGAUUCCUACUAUAACAAUUUUUAUAUACCAAAAACUGAGCUUUUGAUUUUACAUAUUGUGUUCUUUAAAUCAAUUUGAUUGUAUCCACUAUAUUCAACCCCGCUCUAUAGCGGUUCUAGGCCUAACAUAGACAUUUGAUUAUCUCAAUACUCCAUUGAGAAUAAUCCGGCAGAUUGUAAGAUCAAGAAAUGUGACCAUUCUUCUUACAAUCUCGGAUGGCCUUCAAUAAGUAUCGUGAUCACCUCAUUCCCCACACGAAGAUAACCUGACAGGAUACAAGAUUGAGAGUUGCAGAUCACGAUCAGAUGGGCUCCGAAACUAUGGUCUUUCAUGUUAUCCCACAAGGGGUCUUCUGUGUUAUCCCUUAGAGGGGUCUUUACAAAUCUUUACUUGGACACAUCCUUUCUAGUGGAAUGGCUCUUCUACACUCUUUCUUCUUCAUUUAAGCAUUUAACAGAAUGAACCUCUAAAGUCGCGUCUUUAGAAGACACCCUAUCUCCUCCCGCAUCUCUCUUCUUAGGCGCAUGAAUUUACCAGGCCGGCCAAAGAAAACUUGACCCUGAUGAUUGCAACAUAAAAACCUCACCUUCAUUUAAUCAUAGGACGCCCCACUCCCAAAGGUGAUUGAUUCUUCCUCCUUUGCUUCUAACUAGACUAAUUCUAGUCUUCUAGAUCUUUAAGUCACAAGUCCAGCUCAUUACAUAUUCAAUUAUUUGGCUUUCUUAUUAAUUAAAUAUUAAAAUAAUGAAGAUAUGUGUACCCAUAAUUCUAAAAAUCGUUGAUCUGACCAAUUAAUUGCAACAACG